CUCCAAUAGCGUAUAUUAAAGUUGUUGCAGUUAAAAAGCUCGUAGUUGGAUCUCAGGUCCAGGCUUGCGGUCCACUCCUUGGUGGCUACUGCUCGUCCUGACCUACCUCCCGGUUUUACCCUUGGUGCUCUUGAUUGAGUGUCUCGGGUGGCCGGAACAUUUACUUUGAAAAAAUUAGAGUGUUCAAAGCAGGCAGUUCGCCUGAAUAAUGGUGCAUGGAAUAAUGGAAUAGGACCUCGGUUCUAUUUUGUUGGUUUUCGGAACUUGAGGUAAUGAUUAAGAGGGACAGACGGGGGCAUUCGUAUUACGGUGUUAGAGGUGAAAUUCUUGGAUCGCCGUAAGACGAACUACUGCGAAAGCAUUUGCCAAGAAUGUUUUCAUUAAUCAAGAUCGAAAGUCAGAGGUUCGAAGACGAUCAGAUACCGUCGUAGUUCUGACCAUAAACGAUGCCAACUAGCGAUCCGCCGGAGUUGCUUCAAUGACUCGGCGGGCAGCUUACGGGAAACCAAAGUUUUUGGGUUCCGGGGGAAGUAUGGUUGCAAAGCUGAAA
Molecule: ribosomal RNA, 550 nt
Filed under: uncultured eukaryote
Lineage: Eukaryota
Description: SSU rRNA
Rfam family: Eukaryotic small subunit ribosomal RNA
Source: RNAcentral